UACAGAGGUCUCAAGCGUUGUUCGGAUUCAUUGGGCGUAAAGGGUGCGUAGGUGGCGCCGUAAGUCAGGUGUGAAAUUUCGGAGCUUAACUCCGAAACUGCAUUUGAUACUGCGGUGCUUGAGGACUGGAGAGGGUAGUGGAAUUCCCGGUGUAGUGGUGAAAUGCGUAGAUAUCGGGAGGAACACCGGUGGCGAAGGCGGGUCUCUGGGCAUUUCCUGACGCUGAGGCGCGAAAGCGUGGGGAGCAAACGGG
This 253-nucleotide ribosomal RNA is filed under the name uncultured bacterium. Its description in RNAcentral is "partial 16S ribosomal RNA". It matches the Rfam family "Bacterial small subunit ribosomal RNA", at positions 524 to 776 of the family's 1533-position model. The record is from RNAcentral.